AUUGAACGCUGGCGGCAUGCCUUACACAUGCAAGUUGAACGGUAACAGGUCUUCGGAUGCUGACGAGUGGCGAACGGGUGAGUAAUACAUCGGAACGUGCCCAGUCGUGGGGGAUAACUACGCGAAAGCGUAGCUAAUACCGCAUACGAUCUAUGGAUGAAAGCGGGGGAUCGCAAGACCUCGCGCGAUUGGAGCGGCCGAUGACAGAUUAGGUAGUUGGUGGGGUAAAGGCUCACCAAGCCGACGAUCUGUAGCUGGUCUGAGAGGACGACCAGCCACACUGGGACUGAGACACGGCCCAGACUCCUACGGGAGGCAGCAGUGGGGAAUUUUGGACAAUGGGCGCAAGCCUGAUCCAGCCAUGCCGCGUGCAGGAUGAAGGCCUUCGGGUUGUAAACUGCUUUUGUACGGAACGAAAAGUCUCUUUCUAGUAAAGAGGGAUCAUGACGGUACCGUAAGAAUAAGCACCGGCUAACUACGUGCCAGCCGCCGCCGUAA
This 498-nucleotide ribosomal RNA is filed under the name uncultured bacterium. RNAcentral describes it as "partial 16S ribosomal RNA". It matches the Rfam family "Bacterial small subunit ribosomal RNA", at positions 30 to 523 of the family's 1533-position model. The record is from RNAcentral.